CUUCCCAAACUGGGAUUAGAUACCCCCCUAUGCCCAGCCCUAAACACAAAUAAUUUACAUAACAAAAUUAUUUGCCAGAGAACUACUAGCAACAGCUUAAAACUCAAAGGACUUGGCGGUGCUUUAUAUCCCAUCUAGAGGAGCCUGUUCUAUAAUCGAUAAACCCCGAUAAACCUCACCACU
Molecule: ribosomal RNA, 183 nt
Filed under: Martes foina (beach marten)
Lineage: Eukaryota; Metazoa; Chordata; Mammalia; Carnivora; Mustelidae
Description: partial small subunit ribosomal RNA
Source: RNAcentral